GCUCUGGGAUAGCUCAGUUGGUAGAGCAGGAGACACUUGAUCUCAGGGUUGUGGGUUAGAGCCCCACGUUGGGCA
This 75-nucleotide transfer RNA is filed under the name Podarcis lilfordi (Lilford's wall lizard). RNAcentral describes it as "tRNA.Lys". The stretch from base 10 to 67 matches the Rfam family "tRNA", at positions 8 to 63 of the family's 71-position model. Rfam says of the family: Transfer RNA (tRNA) molecules are approximately 80 nucleotides in length. The record is from RNAcentral. Lineage: Eukaryota; Metazoa; Chordata; Lepidosauria; Squamata; Lacertidae.